CAGCCGCCACGGUAAUACAGAGGGUGCAAGCGUUAAUCGGAUUUACUGGGCGUAAAGGGCGCGUAGGUGGUUAUGUAAGUGAGAUGUGAAAUCCCCGGGCUCAACCUGGGAACUGCAUCUUAUACUGCGUAGCUGGAGUGCAGUAGAGGGUAGUGGAAUUUCCGGUGUAGCGGUGAAAUGCGUAGAUAUCGGAAGGAACACCAGUGGCGAAGGCGGCUACCUGGACUGACACUGACACUGAGGCGCGAAAGCGUGGGGAGCAAACAGGAUUAGAUACCCCUGUAGUCCCUGUCUCUUAUAA
This 301-nucleotide ribosomal RNA is filed under the name uncultured bacterium. RNAcentral's name for it is "partial 16S ribosomal RNA". It matches the Rfam family "Bacterial small subunit ribosomal RNA", at positions 509 to 809 of the family's 1533-position model. The record is from RNAcentral.